AUUGAACUCUGGCGGCAGGCUUAACACAUGCAAGUCGAGCGAGCGGCGGACGGGUGAGUAAUGUCUGGGAAACUGCCUGAUGGAGGGGGAUAACUACUGGAAACGGUAGCUAAUCCCGCAUACCAUCAGAUGUGCCCAUAUGGGAUUAGCUAGUAUGUGGGGUAAUGUCUCACCUAGGCGACGAUCCCUAGCUGGUCUGAGAGGAUGACCAGCCACACUGGAACUGAUACACGGUCCAGACUCCUACGGGAGGCAGCAGUGGGGAAUAUUGCACAAUGGGCGCAAGCCUGAUGCAGCCAUGCCGCGUGUGUGAAGAAGGCCUUCGGGUUGUAAAGCACUUGCAGCGAGGAGGCGUUACUCGCAGAAGAAGCACCGGCUAACUCCGUGCCAGCAGCCGCGGUAAUUC
RNAcentral lists this ribosomal RNA (406 nucleotides) under uncultured bacterium. RNAcentral describes it as "partial 16S ribosomal RNA". It matches the Rfam family "Bacterial small subunit ribosomal RNA", at positions 30 to 526 of the family's 1533-position model. The record is from RNAcentral.